This 427-nucleotide ribosomal RNA is filed under the name uncultured bacterium. RNAcentral describes it as "bacterial SSU rRNA". It matches the Rfam family "Bacterial small subunit ribosomal RNA", at positions 355 to 775 of the family's 1533-position model. The record is from RNAcentral.
UGGGGAAUAUUGGACAAUGGGGGCAACCCUGAUCCAGUCAUGCCGCGUGAGUGAUGAAGGCCCUCGGGUCGUAAAGCUCUGUGGAAGACCACGAAACCACGCUGGCUAAUAUCCAGCGUGCUGACGGUAGUCUUUUAGCAAGCACCGGCUAACUCCGUGCCAGCAGCCGCGGUAAUACGGAGGGUGCAAACGUUGCUCGGAAUCAUUGGGCGUAAAGCGCACGUAGGCGGUUCUGUAAGUCAGGCGUGAAAUCCCUCGGCUUAACCAAGGAAGUGCACUUGAAACUACAGAACUUGAAUACUGGAGAGGGUCGCAGAAUUCUCGGUGUAGAGGUGAAAUUCGUAGAUAUCGGGAGGAAUACCAGUGGCGAAGGCGGCGACCUGGUCAGAUAUUGACGCUGAGGUGCGAAAGCGUGGGGAGCAAACAG